This 447-nucleotide ribosomal RNA is filed under the name Triticum aestivum (bread wheat). Its description in RNAcentral is "partial small subunit ribosomal RNA". The record is from RNAcentral. Lineage: Eukaryota; Viridiplantae; Streptophyta; Magnoliopsida; Poales; Poaceae.
AUGGCGGCUGAAGGGGCCUCGGGCUCCUCGGGCGCAAGCGAUGUCGAGCGGAUGAUGGCAGAACUUGGGCUGAAGGAAGAAGAUCUUGAUGAUGUGAUCUUUGAUGAGAAAGAUGCGCCUCCACAGGGACCCAGAUGGAUUGCUCUGGCUAGGGUAAACACCUCCAAAUCAUACAGUCAGACGUGGUUCUACAGAAACAUGCGGUCAGCAUGGAAUAUAGCACAGGAGGCCAAAUUUAAGCCCUUGGAAGAUAAUCUGUACUCAGUUCAACUGUCCUGUUUAGGAGAUUGGGAGAGAGUUAUGCAUGAGGGACCUUGGAAUUUCCGAGGGGAUGUAUUGCUUCUUGCGCCUUAUGAUGGGGUCUCAAAACCUUCAUCCAUCAAGCUGGAGACGAUUGACAUAUGGAUCAUGUUCCAGAUCUGUUUGCUCACCUGGUUACUCCACUAG